GGGGGGCAGCAGUCCACCACCAGCAUGUGUUUGAAAAAAGAUUCAGGUGGAGCAUCAUCUUGAUCUUCAUAUGUAGCAUUAAGGUGGAAACACUACAUGAGAUGUCAAAACAUUUACAUAAUGAAAAUAACAGCAGCAGUAGCUUCACACAUGGGAGAUUCAGGAAAAUAUACUGCACAGGACAUACAUUUAAAACCUUUUCAAAUUCAUUUGCGACAGAAUAUUUAAAGGAUCAGAUUGCAAUACCAACAUUGAAUUACAAUGAUGGCACAAAUUCAGAACCAUAAUUAAAAUUCCGUGUUGGCCACUCCACUCCCCACAGUCUGUUCUUCAUGGUGUCCGUGUGCAGACAGGCUGGAUUAGUUACAGCAAAACUCACAGAUAAAGACACAAGGGGAAAAGACUCUGUUGUAGUCCUGAGUGUGGACAGCCUGGAGGCAGCAGCAGAGGAGAGCAUGGCGAUGACACUGAACUCUGUGUGAACUCCUCUUUUGUAGUGGGCCGCAGAGCAUCUUUAGCCUUUGUUUCGUCCCCCCUGCGGUGUACAGAGGGCUCUUUGUGUCCACACACACCAGGCUUUACAAUGAUGUAUGUCCAACAAGUAAGAGAUCUCAGGGAGAGUGAGUUAUCUGACCUGCUCUCUGGACCACAAACAUCAUGACCACAAACAUCAGCCUUAAACACAAGAAUAAUUCAUUUGGCACACUUGCAUCACCUUUUGUGGUAAAGCAUAUAUUUUACAUAUCUGACCAAAAAGGUACAUAUGUUAUUAAUCCAGUUAAUUACUUACAUUAAGACACUUGUUUUUUGUAUCAUACAUUUUCUGAAAUGUUAUGUUUAAAUAUGCAGAUCAGGCGUUUUCAAAAUG
Molecule: long non-coding RNA, 868 nt
Organism: Cottoperca gobio
Lineage: Eukaryota; Metazoa; Chordata; Actinopteri; Perciformes; Bovichtidae
Exons: 2
Source: RefSeq, a predicted model, not a curated record